This 401-nucleotide ribosomal RNA is filed under the name uncultured bacterium. Its description in RNAcentral is "bacterial SSU rRNA". It matches the Rfam family "Bacterial small subunit ribosomal RNA", at positions 357 to 775 of the family's 1533-position model. The record is from RNAcentral.
GGGAAUAUUGGACAAUGGGCGAAAGCCUGAUCCAGCAAUGCCGCGUGAGUGAUGAAGGCCUUAGGGUUGUAAAGCUCUUUUACCCGGGAUGAUAAUGACAGUACCGGGAGAAUAAGCUCCGGCUAACUCCGUGCCAGCAGCCGCGGUAAUACGGAGGGAGCUAGCGUUAUUCGGAAUUACUGGGCGUAAAGCGCACGUAGGCGGCUUUGUAAGUAAGAGGUGAAAGCCCAGAGCUCAACUCUGGAAUUGCCUUUUAGACUGCAUCGCUUGAAUCAUGGAGAGGUCAGUGGAAUUCCGAGUGUAGAGGUGAAAUUCGUAGAUAUUCGGAAGAACACCAGUGGCGAAGGCGACACACUGGCCCGUUACUGACGCUGAGGCGCGAAAGCGUGGGGAGCAAACAG